GUUGGUCUGGAGUGUGUCCUAUAAGUCUCUGAGUUGAGGUUUCAGCUCCCCCACAAUAUAUUCUCUAGCAAGAAUCCCUCUAUUGGUCCAGUGUAAUAUCUGCUUAGAUUUCAAGAUUAUUGUGAUGUGUGGUUAAAAAGUAACACUGUAAGGUCAGUUGGGGUGAGCGCUUGGGGUUCUUACUCCUAUGGGUUAGGAAACAUUAGCCAACUUGAACACUAGGCCUUCAACGCAAAAUGAUUAAAUGUACCAUUCAAGAAAAAGAGGACUUUAUUUCUCAUACGUACUUAAAUAUACAAUAUUCUUAUUGAACAGGCGAUAACUGGCUAACAUAUACAUUGUAUAUCCAUAAGUAACAGCAGCAUUGAGGAGCAAGAUGGGAGAGUGUAAAGAUAUAAAAACAAGAA
Molecule: long non-coding RNA, 407 nt
Organism: Spea bombifrons (plains spadefoot toad)
Lineage: Eukaryota; Metazoa; Chordata; Amphibia; Anura; Pelobatidae
Exons: 2
Source: RefSeq, a predicted model, not a curated record